UACAGAGGGUGCAAGCGUUAAUCGGAAUUACUGGGCGUAAAGCGCACGUAGGUGGCUUUGCAAGUCAGAUGUGAAAUCCCCGGGCUUAACCUGGGAACUGCAUUUGAAACUGCGAGGCUAGAGUAGAGUAGAGGAAAGUGGAAUUUCAGGUGUAGCGGUGAAAUGCGUAGAGAUCUGAAGGAACACCAGUGGCGAAGGCGACUUUCUGGAUUCAUACUGACACUGAGGUGCGAAAGCGUGGGGAGCAAACAGG
RNAcentral lists this ribosomal RNA (253 nucleotides) under uncultured bacterium. Its description in RNAcentral is "partial 16S ribosomal RNA". It matches the Rfam family "Bacterial small subunit ribosomal RNA", at positions 524 to 776 of the family's 1533-position model. The record is from RNAcentral.